AUGACAGUCCUAAGUUGGAACUGUCAUGGUUUAGGGCAACCCCGGACAGUUCAGGAACUUAUGUGUUUAGUGCACACAUACAAGCCCAAGCUUGUGUUCCUCUCUGAGACCCGGCAAAGAAAUUCGUAUGUCAAUAAGUUAAAGUGGAGGAUUGGCCUCAGGCAUUGUAUCACGUAACCCAGCAUCGGCAAAGGUGUGGGUAUUGCGCUAUUUUAUGAUGAAAGCGUCGGAUGGCGAUGUACUUUUGUCUACGGAGAACCGAGAGCUAAUGAAAGGCAACACAUGUGGGAGUUACUAAGAAGAAUCAAGAGUAAUUAA
This 318-nucleotide ribosomal RNA is filed under the name Triticum aestivum (bread wheat). Its description in RNAcentral is "partial small subunit ribosomal RNA". Lineage: Eukaryota; Viridiplantae; Streptophyta; Magnoliopsida; Poales; Poaceae. The record is from RNAcentral.